RNAcentral lists this ribosomal RNA (253 nucleotides) under uncultured bacterium. Its description in RNAcentral is "partial 16S ribosomal RNA". It matches the Rfam family "Bacterial small subunit ribosomal RNA", at positions 524 to 776 of the family's 1533-position model. The record is from RNAcentral.
UACGUAGGUGGCAAGCGUUGUCCGGAAUUAUUGGGCGUAAAGCGCGCGCAGGCGGCUUCUUAAGUCUGAUGUGAAAUCUCGGGGCUCAACCCUGAGCGGCCAUUGGAAACUGGGAAGCUUGAGUGCAGAAGAGGAGAGUGGAAUUCCACGUGUAGCGGUGAAAUGCGUAGAGAUCGGGAGGAACACCAGAGGCGAAAGCGGCGACCUGGACAGGCACUGACACUCAACUACGAAAGCGUGGGGAGCAAACAGG